UAUUUUCUUUACCAGGACGCGAGAUCCAGAUCUGAGCCUCGCCUGCCUUUAAAUAGGGCCUCCCGUGCCCACCCAGUCCUCACCUCACCAGAUCUGGAUCUCGCGAGCAGCAAGGCGUCCUCCAAGCUAGCAUCAGGAGGAACAUGUUGUCCAGUGGAUUAAAGCUCAAACCAGCUUUCAUAGAUCCUAGCAGUUUUGACGUAAUAGCAUGCCUGGUUUUGCUUUUCAUCAAAGGAUCUUGAGAGACCAAAAUCUGCAAUUUUUGGCACCAUGUUGUCAUCUAGCAGUAUAUUUGCAGGUUUUAGAUCUAAGUGAAGAAUAUGAAUCGCGUGAAGAUAAUGUAAACCCUCACAAAUUCCCUUGAUUAUUUCGUAGUGCUCUCUCCAUUCAGCUCGAUCCAUUUAGGAUUGAGCCUCUGACAACUGCAACGAAGUUGUCCAGCGCGCACAUCCAUGAGAAGUUCCACAGUGUCUGAACUGAUGAACAUGAAAAAAAAGUGUUGACACAGAUGCAAAGAUAAAUGCACAACAGAAAAUUUGUCAAAUCUGAUGAUUGUUGUGCUUUCAGUGUCUACCUAGAUGGAGUCUUCAUGCUCAUAUGAAAGAUGCAUGAAUCUGCAUGGAAGAAGUGCUAUUAAAUAAUCAGGGAAUUUGAGAGGCUUUACAUCAUCUUUGCAAGACUUUCAUCGUUCACUUAGAUCUCAGACCUACAAAUAUAUUCCUGGAUAACAAUAUCGUGCCAAACAUUGCCGAUUUUUGUCCCUCAAGUUGCUUGGAGGAAAAGCGAUACCAAGCUGUUGCUUCAAAACAGUUUGGAUCUAUGUGGUCUAUUGGGGUUGGCAUGGGUAGUUUUCAUUGGUUGUGCAGGUAAGCUCACUAAUGGCACAUGGCAUGCUGCACUAACCUCAUUUUGUUGCAGUCAGUGUACAUCUCCAUUUCCACCUUUGUUGCUCGGAGCUGGUAGAUGUGAUCAAGUGGCGUUGAUUGUCCAACAGAAAGUGGUUCCAGUAGGGGCAGCAAAAGUUCACCUAAGAGAUGUUGGGAAACUGCCCAUCCAUGGAUAGUGGCUGAACUCGAGGAAACUCAGGUGCAAGCUAAGAAGCAACACCAGGAUUCAGGGGAGACAAUCCAGGAAAGGAUUACCAAGGCGAAGAUUGACCCUUUGUGCAUACUCCAUGAAGUUACUCCUGUUACCUGAUAGGAUGAGUUAGUAUUGGUGUGGCUAGCUUUAGAGAAAGCAGCAUGUUGUAUUUGCUGGUACUACUUGUGGCCUUAUUUAUUGGUUUUCAAGGUCUCAGUCUUGAUUUUUAUUUCGGCCUUAGCCUCAAUUCUUAAGCCUAGAGCAAACUGGAAUUGUUGUGUUGGCCAUUGGAUUGAUGGAUGUAAGGACGUAUUGGUUAUUAUAAUCUACAGCUUAAAAGAAAAUUGCUUCACA
Molecule: long non-coding RNA, 1434 nt
Organism: Lolium rigidum
Lineage: Eukaryota; Viridiplantae; Streptophyta; Magnoliopsida; Poales; Poaceae
Exons: 6
Source: RefSeq, a predicted model, not a curated record